CCUGCUUUCGAGCAGGGCUUUUUGCUUUUUUGCGUCGCGGACUGUUAAUCCGUAUGUCACUGGUUCGAGUCCAGUCAGAGGAGCCA
RNAcentral lists this transfer RNA (86 nucleotides) under Klebsiella pneumoniae. RNAcentral's name for it is "tRNA-Asn". The record is from RNAcentral. Lineage: Bacteria; Pseudomonadati; Pseudomonadota; Gammaproteobacteria; Enterobacterales; Enterobacteriaceae.